AGAGUUUGAUCCUGGACUCAGGAUGAACGCUAGCGGCAGGCUUAAUACAUGCAAGUCGUACGGGAUUUCGGGUAGCAAUACCUGGAUGAGAGUGGCGCACGGGUGCGUAACGCGUAUGCAACCUACCUUUAACCGGGACACAACCAUGAGAAAUUGUGGCUAAUAUCCCAUAACACUGCGAUGUGGCAUCACAAUAUAGUUAAAGCUUCGGCGGUAAAAGAUUGGCAUGCUUGACAUUAGAUUGUUGUCGGGGGAACGGCCCACCAAGUCUGCGAUGUCUAGGGGUUCUGAGAGGAUGAUCCCCCACACUGGUACUGAGACACGGACCAGACUCCUACGGGAGGCAGCAGUGAGGAAUAUUGGUCAAUGGGCGCAAGCCUGAACCAGCCAUCCCGCGUGAAGGAAGACUGCCCUAUGGGUUGUAAACUGCUUUUAUACGGGAAGAAACCUUCGGACGUGGUUCGGAGCUGACGGUACCGUAAGAAUAAGCACCGGCUAACUCCGUGCCAGCAGCCGCGGUAAUACGGAGGAUGCAGGCGUUAUCCGGAUUUAUUGGGUUUAAAGGGUGCGCAGGCGGGCUAUUAAGUCAGCGGUGAAAUCCUACAGCUUAACUGUAGAACUGCCGUUGAUACUGAUAGUCUUGAGUUUGGUUGAGGUAGGCGGAAUGUGUCAUGUAGCGGUGAAAUGCUUAGAUAUGACACAGAACACCGAUUGCGAAGGCAACUCGCUAAGCUGUAACUGACGCUCAGGCACGAAAGCGUGGGGACCAAACAGGAUUAGAUACCCUGGUAGUCCACGCCGUAAACGAUGAUUACUCGAUGUUGGCGAUAUACCGUCAGCGUCCAAGCGAAAGCGUUAAGUUAUCCACCUGGGGAGUACGAUCGCAAGAUUGAAACUCAAAGGAAUUGACGGGGGCCCGCACAAGCGGAGGAGCAUGUGGUUUAAUUCGAUGAUACGCGAGGAACCUUACCUGGGCUCAAACGUAGAGUGACCGACUGUGAAAGCAGUCUUCCCUUCGGGGCAGUCUACGAGGUGCUGCAUGGUUGUCGUCAGCUCGUGCCGUGAGGUGUCGGGUUAAGUCCCAUAACGAGCGCAACCCCUAUCUUUAGUUGCCAUCAGGUCAUGCUGGGGACUCUAAAGAAACUGCCUACGCAAGUAGUGAGGAAGGUGGGGAUGACGUCAAAUCAGCACGGCCCUUACGUCCAGGGCUACACACGUGCUACAAUGGCCGAUACAGAGGGCAGCUACCUGGUGACAGGAUGCAAAUCUCGAAAAUCGGUCUCAGUUCGGAUCGAAGUCUGCAACUCGACUUCGUGAAGUUGGAUUCGCUAGUAAUCGCAUAUCAGCCAUGAUGCGGUGAAUACGUUCCCGGGCCUUGUACACACCGCCCGUCAAGCCAUGGAAGCUGGGAGUACCUGAAGUUCGUCACCGUAAGGAGCGACCUAGGGUAAAACUAGUAACUAGGGCUAAGUCGGAACAAGGUAGCGUACCGGAAGGUGUGGUUGGAUCACCUCCUU
This 1517-nucleotide ribosomal RNA is filed under the name uncultured prokaryote. RNAcentral's name for it is "partial 16S ribosomal RNA". It matches the Rfam family "Bacterial small subunit ribosomal RNA". The record is from RNAcentral.